CCUACGGGGGGCAGCAGUGGGGGAUAUUGCACAAUGGGGGAAACCCUGAUGCAGCAACGCCGCGUGGGGGAAGAAGGUUUUCGGAGUGUAAACCACUGUUCGUGGGGAAGAGAAUGACGGUAACCAAGGAGAAAGCUCCGGCUAACGACGUGCCAGCAGCCGCGGUAAUACGUAGGGAGCAAGCGUUGUCCGGAUUUACUGGGUGAAAAGGGUGCGUAGGCGGUCUGGCAAGUCAGACGUGAAAACCACAGGCUCAACCUGUGGACUGCGUUUGAAACUGUGGGGCGUGAGUGAAGUAGAGGUCGUCGGCCUUCCCGGUGUAGCGGUGACAUGCGU
Molecule: ribosomal RNA, 336 nt
Filed under: uncultured bacterium
Lineage: Bacteria
Description: partial 16S ribosomal RNA
Rfam family: Bacterial small subunit ribosomal RNA
Source: RNAcentral